CUACGUGCCAGCAGCCGCGGUAAUACGGAAGGUCCGGGCGUUAUCCGGAUUUAUUGGGUUUAAAGGGAGUGUAGGCGGUCUGUUAAGCGUGUUGUGAAAUUUAGGUGCUCAACAUUUAACUUGCAGCGCGAACUGUCAGACUUGAGUACACGCAGCGCAGGCGGAAUUCAUGGUGUAGCGGUGAAAUGCUUAGAUAUCAUGAAGAACUCCGAUUGCGAAGGCAGCAUACGGGAGUGUAACUGACGCUUAAGCUCGAAGGUGCGGGUAUCGAACAGGAUUAGAUACCCUGGUAGUCCGCACAGUAAACGAUGGAUGCCCGCUGUUAGCGCCUGGCGUUAGCGGCUAAGCGAAAGCAUUAAGCAUCCCACCUGGGGAGUACGCCGGCAACGGUGAAACUCAAAGGAAUUGACAGGGGCCCGCACAAGCGGAGGAACAUGUGGUUUAAUUCGAUGAUACGCGAGGAACCUUACCCGGGCUUGAAUUGCAGAGGAAUUAUUUAGAGAUA
This 505-nucleotide ribosomal RNA is filed under the name uncultured bacterium. RNAcentral describes it as "bacterial SSU rRNA". It matches the Rfam family "Bacterial small subunit ribosomal RNA", at positions 501 to 1008 of the family's 1533-position model. The record is from RNAcentral.